RNAcentral lists this ribosomal RNA (582 nucleotides) under uncultured Pseudomonadota bacterium. RNAcentral describes it as "bacterial SSU rRNA". It matches the Rfam family "Bacterial small subunit ribosomal RNA", at positions 69 to 644 of the family's 1533-position model. Lineage: Bacteria; Pseudomonadati; Pseudomonadota. The record is from RNAcentral.
CAGGAAACAGCUUGCUGUAUCGCUGACGAGUGGCGGACGGGUGAGUAAUGUCUGGGAAACUGCCUGAUGGAGGGGGAUAACUACUGGAAACGGUAGCUAAUACCGCAUAACGUCGCAAGACCAAAGAGGGGGACCCUCGGGCCUCUUGCCAUCGGAUGUGCCCAGAUGGGAUUAGCUUGUUGGUGGGGUAACGGCUCACCAAGGCGACGAUCCCUAGCUGGUCUGAGAGGAUGACCAGCCACACUGGAACUGAGACACGGUCCAGACUCCUACGGGAGGCAGCAGUGGGGAAUAUUGCACAAUGGGCGCAAGCCUGAUGCAGCCAUGCCGCGUGUAUGAAGAAGGCCUUCGGGUUGUAAAGUACUUUCAGCGGGGAGGAAGGGAGUAAAGUUAAUACCUUUGCUCAUUGACGUUACCCGCAGAAGAAGCACCGGCUAACUCCGUGCCAGCAGCCGCGGUAAUACGGAGGGUGCAAGCGUUAAUCGGAAUUACUGGGCGUAAAGCGCACGCAGGCGGUUUGUUAAGUCAGAUGUGAAAUCCCCGAGCUCAACCUGGGAACUGCAUCUGAUACUGGCAAGCUUG